This 589-nucleotide ribosomal RNA is filed under the name Curtobacterium sp. Ri3Pt_4295. RNAcentral's name for it is "bacterial SSU rRNA". It matches the Rfam family "Bacterial small subunit ribosomal RNA", at positions 421 to 1019 of the family's 1533-position model. Lineage: Bacteria; Bacillati; Actinomycetota; Actinomycetes; Micrococcales; Microbacteriaceae. The record is from RNAcentral.
GUUUGUAAACCUCUUUUAGUAGGGAAGAAGCGAAAGUGACGGUACCUGCAGAAAAAGCACCGGCUAACUACGUGCCAGCAGCCGCGGUAAUACGUAGGGUGCAAGCGUUGUCCGGAAUUAUUGGGCGUAAAGAGCUCGUAGGCGGUUUGUCGCGUCUGCUGUGAAAUCCCGAGGCUCAACCUCGGGCUUGCAGUGGGUACGGGCAGACUAGAGUGCGGUAGGGGAGAUUGGAAUUCCUGGUGUAGCGGUGGAAUGCGCAGAUAUCAGGAGGAACACCGAUGGCGAAGGCAGAUCUCUGGGCCGUAACUGACGCUGAGGAGCGAAAGCAUGGGGAGCGAACAGGAUUAGAUACCCUGGUAGUCCAUGCCGUAAACGUUGGGCGCUAGAUGUAGGGACCUUUCCACGGUUUCUGUGUCGUAGCUAACGCAUUAAGCGCCCCGCCUGGGGAGUACGGCCGCAAGGCUAAAACUCAAAGGAAUUGACGGGGGCCCGCACAAGCGGCGGAGCAUGCGGAUUAAUUCGAUGCAACGCGAAGAACCUUACCAAGGCUUGACAUACACCGGAAACGGCCAGAGAUGGUCGCCCCCUU